Molecule: ribosomal RNA, 460 nt
Filed under: uncultured bacterium
Lineage: Bacteria
Description: partial 16S ribosomal RNA
Rfam family: Bacterial small subunit ribosomal RNA
Source: RNAcentral
CCUACGGGCGGCUGCAGUGAGGAAUAUUGGUCAAUGGACGAGAGUCUGAACCAGCCAAGUAGCGUGAAGGAAGACUGCCCUAUGGGUUGUAAACUUCUUUUAUAUGGGAAUAAAAUGUACCACGUGAGGGAUUUUGUAUGUACCAUAUGAAUAAGGAUCGGCUAACUCCGUGCCAGCAGCCGCGGUAAUACGGAGGAUCCGAGCGUUAUCCGGAUUUAUUGGGGUUAAAGGGUGCGGAGGUGGAUUGUUAAGUCAGUUGUGAAAGUCUGGGGCUCAACCGUAAAAUUGCAGUUGAAACUGGGUGUCUUGAGUACAGGAGGGGUAGGCGGAAUGCGUGGUGUAGCGGUGAAAUGCAUAGAUAUCACGAAGAACUCCGAUCGCGAAGGCAGCUCACUGGACUGCAACUGACACUGAGGCUCGAAAGUGUGGGUAUCAAACAGGAUUAGAUACCCCAGUAGUC